Molecule: non-coding RNA, 1308 nt
Organism: Paramisgurnus dabryanus
Lineage: Eukaryota; Metazoa; Chordata; Actinopteri; Cypriniformes; Cobitidae
Source: RefSeq, a predicted model, not a curated record
CCCACAUCUCAGGGUCGGAGUCAGUUUCACAGAGCAGCGCAGGAGGACGACAGACACAUAAAGAACAUUAACAGUUUAGUUUGAAUCUCUCUCAGUCAGUCAGGGGGAGAUUAACUGACAGACUGUAUAACGUUACACGUCUUACCAAGAAACCUUUUAAAGUUUAGCACAAAUGUGUCUCGUGGAAGUUUGAAUCUCUCUCAGUCAGGGGGGAGAUUGACUGACAGACUGUCUACUUGCCACCAGACAGUAAUUUACCCUGAAACCUUUUUAAGUAAGGACUAACGUAAACUGACUCUCUGUCUGCUCUCAACCAGUUAUUUAAGACCUUCUAAAGCCUAGUGCAAACGUUUCCUGCGCAAGUUUGAAUCUCUCAGUCAGGGGGGAGAUUGACUGACUGACUGACUGACUGUCUACUCGCCACCAAACGUCAAAAGUCAGUUACACAGAAACCUUUUAAAGUUUAGCACAAAUGUUUCCCGUGGAAGUUUGAAUCUCUCUCAGUCGGGAGAUUGACUGACAGACUGUCUACUUGCCACCAGACAGUAAUUUACCCUGAAACCUUUUUAAGUAAGGACUAACGUAAACUGACUCUCAGUCUGCUCUCAACCAGUUAUUUAAGACCUUCUAAUGCCUAGUGCAAACGUUUCCUGCGCAAGUUUGAAUCUCUCAGUCAGGGGGGAGAUUGACUGACUGACUGUCUAUUUGCCACCAAACGUCAAAAGUCAGUUACACAGAAACCUUUUAAAGUUUAGCACAAACGUUUCCCGCGCAAGUUUGGAUCUUUACCAUUGAGGGUGGCUGACUGUUCUCGACCAACCAUCAUUCACACGCAAAAACUUUAAAGAUAAGUAUGAACGUGCCCAAAGCAGUUUUCGAUCUUUACCAUUAAGGAGGCUGACUGACUAUCGUCUACCACCCGUCAUUAACACAAGAAAAACUAAAGAAAUGUUACUCCAUAUGGACCUAUUCAUUUACUCAUUAUGCUGUGAGUACACCACAGUUUUAUCAGUGAAAAAAAUUAUAUUUGUGUGUUUUCUCACUGCUUGGCAAGGACAGAUGUGGCCCUGUUAAAAAUGUUUAAAUGUCGUUUGGUUUAAGGAACAGCACACUGAUUUUGUUUUAAAAUAUUCCUGUUUGGACAGUCUGUUAAAGUCAUAAAGGAAUACUUGAUAUAUUUCAUAAGUAAAGUGUAAAUGUAAUAUUAGUUUUUAAUGUUGUGAAUUUGGACUGAACAGCACACUUCUGUUUUAUAUCUAAACCUUUUGUAAAAUAAAUGAUUGUUCAAUAAACUGUGUAUUUUAUCUU